RNAcentral lists this ribosomal RNA (449 nucleotides) under uncultured bacterium. Its description in RNAcentral is "bacterial SSU rRNA". It matches the Rfam family "Bacterial small subunit ribosomal RNA", at positions 329 to 792 of the family's 1533-position model. The record is from RNAcentral.
GACCAGACUCCUACGGGAGGCAGCAGUGGGGGAUAUUGCACAAUGGGGGGAACCCUGAUGCAGCGACGCCGCGUGAGGGAAGACGGUUUUCGGAUUGUAAACCUCUGUCUUUAGGGACGAAACAAAUGACGGUACCUAAAGAGGAAGCCACGGCUAACUACGUGCCAGCAGCCGCGGUAAUACGGAGGGUGCAAGCGUUGUCCGGAAUCAUUGGGCGUAAAGAGUUCGUAGGCGGCAUGUAAAGUCAGGUGUUAAAGGCGCAGGCUCAACCUGUGUAUGGCACUUGAUACUUGCAAGCUGGAAUGCGGUAGAGGUAAAGGGAAUUCCUGGUGUAGCGGUGAAAUGCUUAGAUAUCAGGAGGAACAUCGGUGGCGUAAGCGCUUUACUGGGCCGUAAUUGACGCUGAGGAACGAAAGCCAGGGUAGCAAAUGGGAUUAGAUACCCUAGUA